RNAcentral lists this ribosomal RNA (502 nucleotides) under uncultured bacterium. RNAcentral describes it as "partial 16S ribosomal RNA". It matches the Rfam family "Bacterial small subunit ribosomal RNA", at positions 28 to 523 of the family's 1533-position model. The record is from RNAcentral.
GAUGAACGCUAGCGGCAGGCCUAACACAUGCAAGUCGAAGGGCAGCACAGAAACAGCAAUGUUUUGGUGGCGACCGGCGGACGGGUGCGUAACGCGUAUGCAACCUACCUUUAACAGGGGGAUAACGGAGAGAAAUUUCCACUAAUACCCCAUAACAUCGAUCAAGGCAUCUUGAUUGGUUGAAAACUCCGGAGGUUAAAGAUGGGCAUGCGUUGUAUUAGGUAGUUGGUGAGGUAAUGGCUCACCAAGCCUACGAUACAUAGGGGGACUGAGAGGUUAGCCCCCCACACUGGUACUGAGACACGGACCAGACUCCUACGGGAGGCAGCAGUGAGGAAUAUUGGUCAAUGGGGGCAACCCUGAACCAGCCAUGCCGCGUGCAGGAAGACGGCUCUAUGAGUUGUAAACUGCUUUUAAACAGGGAUAAAGCACAGUAUGUAUACUGUGUUGAAGGUACUGUAAGAAUAAGGAUCUGCUAACUCCGUGCCAGCCGCCGCGGUAA